RNAcentral lists this long non-coding RNA (1436 nucleotides) under Homo sapiens (human). Its description in RNAcentral is "HSALNT0333837". The record is from RNAcentral. Lineage: Eukaryota; Metazoa; Chordata; Mammalia; Primates; Hominidae.
CCAUUCCCCUCGGCUGUUCCUGCCCAUCUCUACCCUGCAAGUGGAAUAGGUCUCAUGAGAGCUGAUGAUUUGAUAAGGGGAAACCUCUUGUGCUUGGCUGUCAUUCUCUCGACUGCUGCUGUGUGAGACGUGCCUUUCACCUCCUGCCAUGAUUCUAAGGACUCCCCGGCCACGUGGAACUGCUUCCAGGGCUGUGGGGCCAAAUGUGCCCUCUCCUGCCCUCAUGGCAGCCUCAGUUCCUGAGUUCUCAUCAUUUCUUCCUUGCUACAAUCAGAACUGAGUCUAGCACCCUUCAGGACAAAUCCAGAUCCCCAGGAGAGACAGCCUGAUGAGUUCAGCUUGGAAAGGGUCUGUUCCUGUCCUAUCAGCUGUGGCCAGCGUGCCAGGGUCACGUACCAGUGCGACUGCCACAGCACGGCCCAUCUGUCCAGGAGUAGUUCUCAGUCAACGGGCUCCAGCUGGGACUCAGGCUGAAUAGAUGCCCACAAGGAUGUCUGCUACCACAUGUAAAGUGCCCCAAAGCAGGACAAGUGCUCAGCAAGUGUGGCCCGUAUGAUUAAGGGAAUUCUGUGUCUGUCUGAGAAGAAAGUGGCGAUGAGCAAUAACAAGGCCUGUCGUCCAUCUGGAAGAACUCCAGCCACCCCCCAAACUUUCAGGUGCAUAGAACCACCUGGACAUAAGACACAAACAUUGUUACCCCAAAAAGGAAAAAAAUUAUUUGGACUAUAUUAAAAUAAAAUAUUUGUUUAUCAAAAUACAUCAUUAAGAGUAAAAAGGCAAGACAGCAAGUUGAAGAAGAUAUUUGCAAUACACAUAGCCAGGAAAGGACAAGAACCCAGAAUAUAUAAAGAACUCCUAUAAAUCAGUAAGAAAAAGACAAUCUGAUUAAAACAUUGGCAAAAGAUCUGAAGAGGCACUUCACAAAAGAGGAUGCCCAAAUGGCCAAUAAACAUAAGAAAAUGUGCUCAACAUCAUUAGUCAUCAGGGAAAUGCAAGUUGAAGCAUAAAAUGGUAUCACUCCACACCCACAAGCAUGGCUGGGAUGAAAAGAGAGAUGCGCCCAGUGCUGACGAGGAUGUGCAUCAACUGGAACUCUCAGACACUGCAGGUGGGUGUCUAAAUUGGUACAGCCACUUUGGAAAAUUGUUCAGCUGUAUUUGUUAAACCUGAACACAAGCAAAUCCUAUCUGUGAUGCCACAAUUCUGCUGAUCGACAUAUCUCCAUCAGAAAUGUAUACAAAUGUCCACAGAGAUACAUGUCAUCGAAUUUUCAUGGCAGCCCUCUUUUGAUAUCCCAAAGCUGGAAACAACCCAAUGCCCAUCAACAGCAGAAUGCAUACAAAUUGUGGUACAAUCAUAGGCUGGAAUGCUACUCAGCAUUGAGAAUAAACAAACCACAACUGCAUAUAAUGGUAUGAACCCAUCCUUCCUACCAG